UCUCCUUUCAGGUAGUUGUAGAGUGAUAAGGUCACACCUGAUCCUCCUUUUCUCCAGAAGAAACAACCCCAGCUCCCUCGGCUGCUCCUCAUAAGACUCAUGCUCCAUGCUCUCCCCCAGCUCUGUUACUCUGCUCUGGAGAUGUUCCAACACUUCAAUGUAGUAGUGAGGGGCCCAAAACCGAGCACAGGAUUUGAGGUGCAGCCACAGCAGUGUUAUGCCUUCUGAAGAGACUGAGAAACAGAUGACUUAUGGGGAGCAAGAGAAUAUUUUUACUGCAUAAUUUGGGUUGAUGUCUACAUUGCACACGUGAGGCACAGUGGAAAUGCUGACUACUGCCGAAAUGCGCCAGCUCAUGGAGUGCAUGGCGGUGUAGCUCCGUGUGAUUCAAUGCAGGGCAAUAGCAUUUGGAACAACCUGCGGCUGGAAUAUGUGUGAGCAGAAAGAAGCAGCAUCCAUCACUUAAACACUGACUUGGGUUUUUCUCUCAGCUAUUAUAACACUUCAAGGAUUGUGCUUGCUAACAACUUGCUUCCCAGAGCACCAGUUUUCACACAGCAAAUGCUGACGUAGACCUCUCUCGCCUACGCAGGAAGACCAUAAUGUUAUGAACAGUAUAUAUAAACAGUAACACGCAACUGUGGUUGUAGCGCAAAGCCUACCUACCAGGGUGAAAUCAGAGGCUCCCUGUGCUGGGCAUUGUAUGAAGGAAGAACUUGUUCAAGGUGAUUUCUGCCUCAGUUCUCACAGGCUAAAUAUGGAGAGGCAAAGUGUGCUGAUGGGAUAGAAGCUCUUUUCUUGCCAUAUGCUCUAGAUCCUAUUUUUUAGUCUGUGACAUGGUAUAGAAACAUUGAAGCAUGAAGAACUGUGAGGAUUAAGGAGGUUGUAAAUCAGACUUUAAAGAACUGAAAAGAUAACCUAAUUGGUUAGGUGGAACCUCAAUGAGGUACUUUAUUUUUGUUUUGUAGUGCAUGGAGCCAGUUUACUCAAGAUCAAUAAGGUAUCAUUUAUGGCUAGCAUAUACAGUGGUUUCAGAAGAUAAAAGACGUUUGAUUGAAGAAGUUGCUCUGCGUAAAGAAAUCAAUGUGUCAAUUUUAAUAGUACUAAAUUAUUGCAAAAAAUUCUUGGAUACAAGCUUUCAAAGUGCCAGGCUGGGAAAAUGGUACCUUUCCUUACCCUAGCACUUGCACCUUGAUGUAGAGAGAUGUAUUUUGUUAUCCCCAUUGCCAAAGAACAGAGAUGUAAGAGCAGGUUUACAUGAUGCUAUCACUGAUCUCACUUUUGGACUCAGUAAAUUAAAAUGGAAAUGAGUGCAUGGAUGAUCUUAGCUCUUUAUAUUUUUUUAGAAUGAUAGAUACCCAACUUGAAUUUUUUUGAAAGUCAAACUCAAAUUUUGUGUUUAGAAGAUAUGAAAAUAUUUGUGCCAAGUAGGACAAGAAACAGCAAGAAAGGCUGCAGAUUACUCCAGAAUAAGCAGUAGUAAAUGCAUUUUACUAGGAUUGGGAUGGUAUAGACCUGCCUUAUUUCAGGAUUGAAUUCAGCAAUACAAUUUUAUUUUGAUUUUGCUCCAGCUAUGCUGUGCAGAGAUAGAUUUGGAGCUGACAUACGUCUCAAAGCUAAGUAUAUAAACAUAACAAGUUUGUCUUUGCCUUUCUAGACAAACAAUUCUGGAGACUCAGAAUUCUCCUGUGAGGUUCCUAGAUCCCUGUCUUGGGACUGCAGACACAGUGGUUAGGUGGACUUAAGGGUUAUUGAUAUGUUUAAAAGGAAAAUAUAUUCUACUUCUUUUGAUUGUGCUUAGGGAUGACUCCUAGUACUAAGGGGAAUGACAAAGCCAUAUUCAUGUUUAUGGUGCUGAAGUUAUCUUAACUAGCCUAAUAGCAAAAUAUUACACUCUUAUUACACUGCUAUCUUCUUUCCUGUGAUAUAAACAAUUUUAUUUACACAUCAGAAAGGAAAGGGCUUGUUUGUCUAGUUACAACCCUUUAAAAAUGCCUUAAGGAGUCCCUUCCUUGCUGAAGUGAAUGUUCAAUGCAUUUGCUCUUUGUGCCAUGGCAACACGUGCUUUCAGCUUCCAGGAAUGUGUUCUACUCCCUCGGUGUCAGUUGUGUCAGCACCACCUGGAAAAUAACCAGCAUCCUUGGAGACUGUAAACUGAACAGGGGAGCACCAUAGAGCUUGUGUGAUUGCAUUUUGUGUUCGGAUAUGUGAUAAAGAUCACCCAGGAACGGCUUGUUAAGUCAUAGUUGUAUGAUAUUCAGUGAUACAAGUUGCUACCCGUGAGAUUUGACCCAAAUGAGAGCACAGAAAAAGUAUUUGCUGCUUGUUAUGUUUCAACAAUAGAAAUAUGACUGAAAAUUGAUGAUAGUAGAACUGUAAGACUGAGCUCUGUUUUUCUUGUUUUC
Hirundo rustica (Barn swallow) is the source of this 2405-nucleotide long non-coding RNA. RefSeq lists it as uncharacterized. The transcript has 5 exons. Lineage: Eukaryota; Metazoa; Chordata; Aves; Passeriformes; Hirundinidae. The record is from RefSeq and is a predicted model, not a curated record.